CUGGGUAGCUAUGUAGGGAAGGGAUAAACGCUGAAAGCAUCUAAGUGUGAAACCCACCUCAAGAUGAGAUUUCCCAUAACUUUAUGUUAGUAAGAGCCCUGAGAGAAGAUCAGGUAGAUAGGUUGGAAGUGGAAGUGUGGCGACACAUGUAGCGGACCAAUACUAAUCGCUCGAGGACUUAUCCAAA
This 187-nucleotide ribosomal RNA is filed under the name Streptococcus suis. Its description in RNAcentral is "partial 23S ribosomal RNA". It matches the Rfam family "Bacterial large subunit ribosomal RNA", at positions 2741 to 2925 of the family's 2925-position model. The record is from RNAcentral. Lineage: Bacteria; Bacillati; Bacillota; Bacilli; Lactobacillales; Streptococcaceae.